AUUGAACGCUGGCGGCAGGCCUAACACAUGCAAGUCGAACGAGUGGCGGACGGGUGAGUAAUGUCUGGGAAACUGCCUGAUGGAGGGGGGUAACUACUGGAAACGGUAGCUAAUACCGCAUACCAUCAGAUGUGCCCAGAUGGGAUUAGCUAGUUGGUGGGGUAACGGCUUACCAAGGCGACGAUCCCUAGCUGGUCUGAGAGUAUGACCAUCAACAAGGUAACUGAGAUACGGUCCAGACUCCUACGGUAGGAAGCAUUGGGGAAUAUUGCACAAUGGGCGCAAGCCUGAUGAAGCCAGGCCGCGUGUAUGAAGAAGGCCUUCGGGUUGAAAAGUACUUUCAGCGGGGAGGCGUUACCCGCAGAAGAAGCACCGGCUAACUCCGUGCCAGCAGCCGCGGUAAUUC
This 406-nucleotide ribosomal RNA is filed under the name uncultured bacterium. RNAcentral's name for it is "partial 16S ribosomal RNA". It matches the Rfam family "Bacterial small subunit ribosomal RNA", at positions 30 to 526 of the family's 1533-position model. The record is from RNAcentral.